GUGAAGAACGUAGCGAAAUGCGAUAAGUAAUGUGAAUUGCAGAAUUCAGUGAAUCAUCGAAUCUUUGAACGCACAUUGCGCCCGCCAGUAUUCUGGCGGGCAUGCCUGUCCGAGCGUCAUUUCAACCAUCAAGCCCCGGGCUUGUGUUGGGGACCUGCGUCCGACGCAGGCCCCGAAAACCAGUGGCGGGCUCGCUGUCCACACCGAGCGUAGUAGCUAACCUCGCUCCGGAGUGGCGCGGGCGCCUGCCGUAAAACCCCCCCAAUUUUACAAGGUUGACCUCGGAUCAGGUAGGAAUACCCGCUGAACUUAAGCAUAUCAAUAAGCGGAGGA
Molecule: unclassified non-coding RNA, 333 nt
Filed under: soil metagenome
Description: partial contains 5.8S ribosomal RNA, internal transcribed spacer 2, and large subunit ribosomal RNA
Rfam family: 5.8S ribosomal RNA (bases 2-119)
Source: RNAcentral